AAAUCCAUCUGGAAACUUACAAACGCCAACGACGAGCGUUUCGCUCUCGCCGCUUAACACCGGCGAGCCCUGCACCGGUCUGCCGAUGGGCCGGGUCGCGCAAGCGGCAGCAGGGUAAUCCACACCGGCUAAGGGUGCGCCCCGCCGCGCGGCGCACCACAAAAACCCAGCGGAUCGCCUGCAACCAGCCCGCCCGCCGGCGGGGAGCAGGUUAAAUCAAACGGCGCGGCUAAGUAUGUAGAACUGGCUGUAGAGGGCUUGCGGACGCGGGUUCGAUUCCCGCCGCCUCCACCA
RNAcentral lists this transfer-messenger RNA (294 nucleotides) under Rhodocyclaceae bacterium. RNAcentral describes it as "partial transfer-messenger RNA". It matches the Rfam family "transfer-messenger RNA", at positions 70 to 374 of the family's 374-position model. Rfam says of the family: Bacterial tmRNA, also known as 10Sa RNA or SsrA, is named for its dual tRNA and mRNA-like properties. Its role is to liberate the mRNA from a stalled ribosome. To accomplish this part of the tmRNA is used as a reading frame that ends in a translation stop signal. Lineage: Bacteria; Pseudomonadati; Pseudomonadota; Betaproteobacteria; Rhodocyclales; Rhodocyclaceae. The record is from RNAcentral.